This 253-nucleotide ribosomal RNA is filed under the name uncultured bacterium. Its description in RNAcentral is "partial 16S ribosomal RNA". It matches the Rfam family "Bacterial small subunit ribosomal RNA", at positions 524 to 776 of the family's 1533-position model. The record is from RNAcentral.
GACGAACCGUGCGAACGUUGUUCGGAAUCACUGGGCUUAAAGGGCGCGUAGGCGGCAUUUCAAGUCCGGGGUGAAAGCCCCCAGCUUAACUGGGGAAGUGCCUUGGAAACUGGAGUGCUGGAGGGAGGUAGGGGUCGAGGGAACUUCUGGUGGAGCGGUGAAAUGCGCGGAUAUCAGGAGGAACACCGAUGGCGAAGGCAGGUCUCUGGGCUGUAACUGACGCUGAGGAGCGAAAGCAUGGGGAGCGAACAGG